RNAcentral lists this ribosomal RNA (273 nucleotides) under uncultured bacterium. RNAcentral's name for it is "partial 16S ribosomal RNA". It matches the Rfam family "Bacterial small subunit ribosomal RNA", at positions 524 to 796 of the family's 1533-position model. The record is from RNAcentral.
UACGGAGGGGGCAAGCGUUGUUCGGAAUUACUGGGCGUAAAGGGCGCGUAGGCGGAACAUUAAGUUAGGGGUGAAAGGCCUGGGCUCAACCUGGGAACGGCCUCUAAGACUGAUGAUCUCGAGUCCGGAAGAGGAUGGCGGAAUUCCCAGUGUAGAGGUGAAAUUCGUAGAUAUUGGGAAGAACACCGGUGGCGAAGGCGGCCAUCUGGUCCGGCACUGACGCUGAGGCGCGAAAGCGUGGGGAGCAAACAGGAUUAGAAACCCCCGUAGUCC